GUGGAGGAAAAGAAAAUAUCAAUGAUUCCCCAGUAACGGCGAGUGAACAGGGAAAAGCUCAAAGUUGGAACCUUCUUGGCCUAGCCAAGACGGAUUGUAAACUAAAGUCUUCGAGUAGUUCGGCUAGCCUGGUUAUCAAGUCCUCUGGAAAGGGGCGACAUAGAGGGUGAAACCCCCGUUUAUGGCCAGAGUUUAGUCCUGCGUUCGCUUGGGGACGAAGAGUCAGGUUGUUUGGGAAUGCAGCCUAAAGUGGGAGGUAAAUCUCUCCUAAAGCUAAAUAUUGACGAAAGACCGAUAGCGAACAAGUACCGUGAGGGAAAGAUGAAAAGCACUUUGAAAAGAGGGUCAAAAAGUACGUGAAAUUGCUAAAAGGGAACCGUAUGAAAUCAGCCUGACCUCUUGAUAAUCAGCCUGGGCUUUGGCCUGGGUGCACUUGUCAUUGGGUUAGCCAGCAGCAGUUUGGCCUAAAGGAAAAAACUUGAAGGAAUGUGGCCUUGGCUUCGGCUGAGGUGUUUAUAGCCUUUAGGAAAAUACUUUGGGCUAGACUGAGGAACGCAGCGGGCCGUUUUUUCGGCAAAGGGUUUGGGGUGCUUUGCUAAAUGUAUGCGAAAAUUUCUGCUUCGGGUGGUGUUCGUAUAUUUGUUUGGUAAACUCGCCUCAAUUCUCCUUUCUCUCGCUUAGGUUGUUGGCCUAAUGAUUUUAUAUGAC
RNAcentral lists this ribosomal RNA (708 nucleotides) under Absidia cylindrospora var. rhizomorpha. RNAcentral describes it as "eukaryotic LSU rRNA". It matches the Rfam family "Eukaryotic large subunit ribosomal RNA", at positions 50 to 648 of the family's 3401-position model. Lineage: Eukaryota; Fungi; Mucoromycota; Mucoromycetes; Mucorales; Cunninghamellaceae. The record is from RNAcentral.